UACGUAGGCAGCAAGCGUUGUCCGGAUUUAUUGGGCGUAAAGAGCGUGUAGGCGGCCAGACAGGUCCGUUGUGAAAACUCGAGGCUCAACCUCGAGACGCCGAUGGAAACCGUCUGGCUAGAGUCCGGAAGAGGAGAGUGGAAUUCCUGGUGUAGCGGUGAAAUGCGCAGAUAUCAGGAAGAACACCCGUGGCUAAGGCGGCUCUCUAGUACGGUACUGACGCUGAGACGCGAAAGCGUGGGGAGCGAACAGG
This 253-nucleotide ribosomal RNA is filed under the name uncultured bacterium. RNAcentral describes it as "partial 16S ribosomal RNA". It matches the Rfam family "Bacterial small subunit ribosomal RNA", at positions 524 to 776 of the family's 1533-position model. The record is from RNAcentral.